GUGCUUGCUUCGCGCAGUACACAUACUAAAACUGGAACAAUACAGAGAAGAUUAACAUGGUCCCUGUGCAAGGAUGACAUGCAAAUUCAUGAAGCGUUUAAAAAAUGU
Small nuclear RNA from Capra hircus (goat), 108 nucleotides. Lineage: Eukaryota; Metazoa; Chordata; Mammalia; Artiodactyla; Bovidae. The record is from Ensembl.